Molecule: ribosomal RNA, 682 nt
Filed under: uncultured fungus
Lineage: Eukaryota; Fungi
Description: eukaryotic LSU rRNA
Rfam family: 5.8S ribosomal RNA (bases 225-378)
Source: RNAcentral
CUUGGUCAUUUAGAGGAAGUAAAAGUCGUAACAAGGUUUCCGUAGGUGAACCUGCGGAAGGAUCAUUCACAAACGAGUGUUUUAUGGCACUCUUUAAAAAUCCAUAUCCACCUUGUGUGCAAUGUUUGUUGGGAAAGUCUUUUCUUUCCCUUCAUAAAUAUCAACCUAUAUCUUUAACAACAUUCGUCUGAUAACAUAUUAUGAAUAUACUUAAUUCAAAAUAUAACUUUCAACAACGGAUCUCUUGGCUCUCGCAUCGAUGAAGAACGCAGCGAAAUGCGAUACGUAAUGUGAAUUGCAGAAUUCAGUGAAUCAUCGAAUCUUUGAACGCAUAUUGCGCUCUUUGGUAUUCCGAAGAGCAUGCUUGUUUGAGUAUCAGUAAACACCUCAACCUCUCUUUUUUGAUAAAAAAAAGGGAGGGUGGACUUGAGCUAUCCCAACGACCUUCACCGGUAGGCGGGCGGCUUGAAAUGCAGGUGCAGCUGGACUUUUAUCUGAGCUAAAAGCAUAUCUAUUUAGUCCUCGUCAAACAGGAUUAUUACUUUUGCUGCAGCUAACAUAAAGGAUAAUUGUCCUCUUUGCUGACUGGUGCAGGAUUUUACGACACUUUAUGUGUUGUUCAACUCGAUCUCAAAUCAAGUGAGACUACCCGCUGAACUUAAGCAUAUCAAUAAGCGGAGGA